GCUCCAUUCGUCUAGAGGCCCAGGACGCAGCCCUCUCAAGGCUAAAACACGGGUUCGAAUCCCGUAUGGAGCA
RNAcentral lists this transfer RNA (73 nucleotides) under Pseudomonadota bacterium. RNAcentral's name for it is "tRNA-Glu". It matches the Rfam family "tRNA". From Rfam's summary of the family: Transfer RNA (tRNA) molecules are approximately 80 nucleotides in length. Their secondary structure includes four short double-helical elements and three loops (D, anti-codon, and T loops). Lineage: Bacteria; Pseudomonadati; Pseudomonadota. The record is from RNAcentral. RNAcentral also lists the same sequence under 2 other names.